UUGACUUUGGAAGGCUUAGAGUCACAAGUGUCACUCCUCUAAUGGCUUACAAACACCAAAAGCAAGUGGAGAAGGUAUAAAGAGAAAGGAGAGAGGUAGAAAUUCGUCCUUAGAUGCUCUAGGGAUCAAGUCACGAAAUCCUAAGGCCUUAGGGGUCUUUAUAUAGGGUUAGGAUUAGGGUUUCAGUCCUUAUCCUUAUCUAGUUACUUGCCCAUCAAGCAACCAUAAGAUAAGCCUUGAAAAUCCCUAUCUCUUGGACCUUUGACGAUUUUAAGGAUAUCCUUAUCCUUGAAUUCGUCCAUCCUUUAACAAGGAUAAUCAUUGCCCUAUUUUGCAACUAUCACAUAAUUACAAUUCAGCCCCUCUAGUUUAAUUAAUUACAUUUGAUCACAAAAUUAAUUCUUAAUUAAUUAUUGACCAAUAUUAAUUAAACAAAUAUGAUUUCUCCUUUAAUAUAUUAUUCUUAUAACAUAUUAAUAAAUCAUAAUAACCUCUCUCUUUAUUUAUUUCUCCAAUCAAGUUGCUUUGGUGAAGGCAACCCAAAAGGACCAUGCACCAUCGGGUCAAGUACAUACCAAAAUAGUUAUGGACUUAGACACUAAUCCAACAGUCUCCCACUUGGAUAAGUCUAAUAACUAUUCUGCGUAUGACUUCAGAUCCUGAUCUGCAAUCGUAGCUUUCCAAAGCCGCUGUCAACUCUGAUCCUAUCAGAUACGCGUGUCCUUAGAUAAGGGAUCAUAUAUUCCUCCAUUCUAGAUAUCAUAUGAGAUAUGAUUUCAAAUCAUUCUCUUUGUACUAUAUCUCGAUUCCCGAUUUAUGACGACUGACUAAUUGAACAAAUCAAAUUAGCCCUAGCCCGGCCGAGCAUUUACGUUUGUCAUCACUAAAUCAUCGAGGGGCCCAAAGAUAUCGCUUUUAUCCUACUUUGGAUAAAAGGAACGGAUAAACUUUGAUACAAUGCUUGCUUGCACUCACUCACCGAAUCACACACAACAAUAUGUUUUAUAACACCAAGUUACUAGUGCGUUUACAUAUUAUCAAUGUGCAACCGAUUUGCAAGAUACAACUCACACAUCUCGGUUUCAAGAAUAUAAGAUGUUAUCGUCUCACCAAUCACUCGUGAUACAAUUCAUGGAGUGAUCCAAGUGAGCGUGGGUUUAAUCCAAUGCUCAAAUCAUAUUCAUAAGCACUCAUGAACGUUGCAGCAAACAUUUGCUUAUGUCUAAUACUCUUUUAGACAAUCCACACACCAAUUCACGACAGUCUUCAUUCAUAUCUACUUCCAACAUAUGAACGACUGUGGCCCGUUCGAAUAAUUCGAUUAUUCUUAAUAAACUCAAUUAUUCUGGAAGUCAAAACAUGCAAAUGUGAAACACAAGAAUAAUACUAAUCCCAUAUGGCCUCAAACCUUUGAGUAUAAAUAAAACACCUUUUAUUUAUCACCAUAUCGAUUACUCAUUAUUUGUCGUUUCGGGUAAUCAACUUCUUACUUGAAUUAUUACACUUGUCCCAUGCUCCUAGCAUGCACACAAUGUUUACCUAUGGUUCUUACUUUGUGAAAUAGAUCAAAUUGAACACAUUUCCAAUCAUUCUCAUUUCACAACUCCAAAUCCUUUUUCAUAAGUGUAAGAAUAUCAAAUUCUUGCUACUUAUAGAAUAUGCUAGAUUCUAACAUUCUAUGCAACUAUCCUUUCGUAAUGUCACUGCACCAAAGUCACAAAGACUAUUGCCAAUGAUAUUACAAAGUCCUCUAUCGGAGAUUGUUACAAGACAAUUCCAUAGAUGUGAUGUCUCUCACUCAAAGUACAUUCUUUGAACAUCCUUUUGCAUAGAAGUUUCUAAUCUAGUCAUAGAUUUCUCAAUAUUCAAUUCCCAAUAUGGACACACUUCCAUAUGUUCCAUAUGACAACUCAUUCUUAAUAGAAUCUUAUCUAUUCGUAAUGAUGUCGAUAUGGUCCAUCCAAUAUGGAAACAUUUCCAUAUUUUCCAAUACUAUACUUCCAACUACUCACAAGCGACCAAUCCUCGUCGAACUUUGGAUUGUCCUUUGAUAGUUGUUUAAUUAUUUUAGUCAAAACCGAUUCUAGUCCUUUUUCCCUCUAAAUGCGCUAGACAUUUGGAAAAUUUUAGAAUGGUCAAACAUUAAAGCAUUUGCAAUCGAUCCUAUACCCGAAGCGUAUGGGACACGACGCAUAAUGUUUUAUUUGCUAUGUUCUCAAAAUUCGAAUUGUGAAGAGGGAUGCCGUAAUCAUAAUCGAAAUUUUAAGAACACACUAUGUACCUUUGACUAAAUUUAUUAACAUUUCUCAACCUAAUCCUUUAGAUUUGAAAUGAAGCAUAAUAUUCUCUCCCUUAAUUAUAGCAAAACAACUUUUCAACUCUUACAACUUUGCAAAGUAUGACUCUUGUUUUCUAUAAUUAAUAUUGCUAACCUUGCAAUACUUUCCUUAAUAAUCAUACAAUCAUAACAUUUAUGCUCCCACUAUCAUGAUGAUUAUUAUAAAACAUAACACUUAUGCUCCCACUAGCUUCGACAUGUAUUCAUAAACAUCUUAACUUUCAGAAAAACAAUGCUUAUUGAAUUUCUUAAGUUCAUGUUUCUAAUACUUAGUGCUUUGAUAAUCUUUUAUCAAGGCUUCUUGAACUUAUACACCUUUGCCUUCGAUAGUUCAUAUGUGUGUCUAAACAAUUAAGACUAAUUGCCAAACCUCACAAUUCAAAUUAUGGAAAGGGAUGCCGUAACCAUAAUUGAAUUCGAGAAUGCAAUUUUACAAUCACUAUCUUCUUAAAAUCUUUCUUAGUGAAAGCAUUUCCUCACAAUCAUUUUCAUGAAGGAGGAAAUCUUAUGACACUUAGAUUUAAACGGUGUAUGUGUUCCUAUCCAUGUGAAUUUGUUAAAACCAAAGUUUACGACAAAUUCAAACUCAUAUGGACCGAACUUUCUUAAUCUUGAUUUCUUGCCUUAUGGUAGCACAGCUGCCCACCAUGUCUUCCAAGUAGUUAAGCAGCUCACCCUUUCCUAUCAAUGUACCUUUCAUUGAUUAAGGUGCUUUGCCUUUUAUGCGUUCAAAAUGAGAACUCAUAGAACUCACAUGCAUAAUUAACUCGAUUGGAUUGGCACAGAAUCAAAAUAAUGUCAACACGAUAGGUUGUAAACCUCAACUCGUGUGCUAGUGAUGAUCGAUAAGGUUUAUUUGAUUUGUUCUUGAAACCUUUCAAGACCAUUAAGACUCCCACUGACUCCUUGACAUAUAAGAUUCUCUUGUCAAUAACCAUUUCUUGACAAACAAAUAUUCAAGAGUUAGUGUAGCUUUUAUCAAAACACUUCAUAAAUUGGUCCUAGUUGGUCUUUGUCUUAUCCAAGACAUCACAACUUUCCACAUUUAAUGAAAGUUACAAACCUUCUUAAUACCUUUCACUCAAUGUCACAAUCUUAACUUUAAGACUUGUUAUUGGAACGAAGUAUGAUUGACUUAUUGAUUUAACCAUUUCUUCAAUUCUUGAUUCCUCUUCUUAGACAUACAAUUGUACUAAGACUCACUUAGAGGAUCAAUUGAGAUAUGGUUCUUAAUCAUUAAGACCUAUCAUAAAGCAUAAAAGGUACUCUCCCUUCUUCUUAGAAUGGAGAAACUUUUAUCUUUCUGCCUACUUGAUUCUUCUUAUUCGUUCUGCUAUUGAUUUAAACCUUUUCAAUCAAUUCAGAAUUACACUUAAUCUUAUAAGUAUAAUCAUAUUUACUAAACCUUUAGUAAAUCAUGACGAAUAUCUUUGUUACUCUUAUGGUGGACUUGAUCAACACACAACUUUGUGUACUCGAUCUCCUAGUCCUUCACUUGACACUUUGUCAAUGAAUUAGUCUAAUUUCCAAAUAUGAAAUUUCUCAUUCAUCGUGCAACCAAGUUGCAUGAUUCCAAGUUUCUGUCCAAUUGAAACUUGGGCGAUGAGAAACUCUCCCUAUUUGGUAAAUUCUCGACUUUCCAUAAAUAACAUAAUAAGAACCAAAUCCAUUAUUGCUAAUAAUAGAAACAUUUUAACAUCAAUUUUUCAUACACGCCAUUGUAAGGAUAAAUAAAUAAAAUUUAAAAUCAAAAUUUAUUUUAUUGCGGAAAAAUUUGUCCUUACAAUGCAACUCAUUGAAAAACUUAUGCUAAUACAUCUUUCUUAGCAAUCUAAUUCUAACUCUAAGUAGUAGCUCAAGAAUCUAAUCUUCGAGAAAUGCGAUCGAAAUCCAUUCCUUCACGGUUAGAUUCUGCUCACUUCUUCCCUUAAGCUUCCUUUCUUUUCUUCGAUCCUACAAAACAUCAAUUGUAAUCUUAUCACAUUAUGUAUUAAGAAUCUAGAAUAGAAGCUUAAAAGAGUUAGUUAAUGGAUUUUACCUAUAUUAGAGCCAUACGUUUCGACUCUCCCAUCUCUUAGAUCUCUUAGGUAAAUGGGGCAGCUUCGUCUCCAAUGCCCUUUCUCUUGGCAAUAAAAGCAAAUUGACUCUUUUGGAACAUGACAUGGAACUACUUCAGACAUUGCCUUUCUCUUAUGAUCAAACUUUUCGAUCAUAGCAUGUCUUUCGUUGCCAUUGUCUAUAUCCAUAGAGGUCUUGAAGGCAGAUUCACCAAUCAACUUUGCUUUUCUAUUGCGCCAAACCAUUGCUGAUUCAGCAGCAAUAAGCAUAUAGGUGAGAUCUAUAAGGGUCACGUCGCGGUUCAUCAUAUAGUACUCUCUUACGAACUCACUAUAUGAGUUAGGAAGUGACUGAAGAACCCAAUCAACAGCCAUUUCCUCACAGACAACGGAUCCCAACAUUCUUAACCUAUCAAUGUGUGACUUCAUCCCUAGGACGUGUGCACACACCGACUUUCCUUCUUUAUGUUUACUUGCCAAAAGGGCUUGAGUGAUCUUGAACUUUUCAAGCCUUUGAACUUGUGGGUUAGGGAGAAUAAUUGGAGGAGGUGGAGGAAGUGAAGCAUGAUUUCUUGUUCCUCGAUCGAAUCGUGGAAUAUCAUCUUCAUGUGGAAUGCUUGUUCCACGGGAUUUGGGAAGACCAUAGUUGUCGAACUUUGACAUCUACAAAACGGGAGAAAACGAAUUCAAGUUAGUUGAUUGAUUGAGUCCUUAGUAAAUCACCCAAAUGAGAUACUAAGGCUAGGACCCAACACAAUAUUCUACAACUCGGGAGAGGGAUGCCGUAACCCAAAUUGCAGAACAUUUGAAGGUAAGUGAAUGACGAUUCACUAAUUUCCACCAUGAAAAACGAAAAAGAAAUUUAAGUUUUAAAUCUAUGAAAACUCCUAGAUCCUUUGAGAUUCAUUGAACAUUUCAAUGGCAUGUUUAAAUCUCGAUAUGCCCCUCUUGUUUGUGACUGGGAUGCCGAGGAUCACAAAGCGGGUGUGAAUAACCAUGCAAACUUACAUGGUGCCCUCACAUGUUACAGUCACCUAUUCGAUGUGCCGGUAAACCACACACGCUCCACCGAACUAUGACAAACAUUGAGUCACCCUUUGCUACCUUUGCUUAGAACCAUUUAGUGUGCCGGUAAACCACACACGCUCCACUAACGUCUUCGCAAGGGCACAAAGUGUAAUUUCAUGGAAUUGCAUCAAUUCACUUUUGCCUAAGUAACUAAGAUUGGGAAUUUUAUGAAAACAUUUAGUUACUUUUAUACUUCAUUAUACUUAUAAUGGAAGGUUUCGUCCUAUCCUACCCGUUCGGCUAACGACCCUCCACUAGUCAAGAGUGCGGUGGGUAAGAGUGGAUACCCAUUCAAUCGCCAUUUUAUAGGCAAUUUCCUUAAACACCCCUUAUAGACCAGCUUCGUGAAUGAGGCCUACUAACGGUAAGACUGACUUUUACUCAUACAUAUAUAUAAUGUUAGACUUUUAAUGUUAUAUAUAGUAUAGGGUGUAUUUUACACUUUUAAAAUACUAGGUGGUCAAAUUUAACAAUUAUACUUUUAAUUCAAUUAAAUUGUAAACCAAAACUUUUAUGGAUUUAUUAAACCUCUUUUAAUUAUACACCUUAAUUAAUUAAUAAAACCAUAAGGGUGUGAUUUGAACUUUUUCAAAACAAUACUAGAGUUUUAGAAUUUAACAUUCCUAAUUAAACUUUUAAUCAACUUUUAAAUUCCAAAACUUGAGGGCAAGUUUUGAAACAUUUCAACACAUUAGGGUUUAGAAUUUAAAUAUACAUCAAAAUUAAACCAUUUAAUCAAAAUUUAAAUUCCAAAACUUGAGGGCAAGUUUUGAAACCUUUUUCAAAACAUUAGGGUUUCAACUAUUUAAAUUUCAAAACAACAAAACUUUUGGGUUCAAAUUUAAACUAUAAAACCUAAAGGGGAAAAUAUGAAACUUUUCAUAACAACAAGGAUCAAAUAACAAAUAAUCUAAAUUAACAUUUAAUCACAUAAUUAUCCAUAUUUGAUUUAUUUAAUGAUUUCUUGCAAAACAAUUUAUCAAUUUAAUCAAAAUAAUUAAUCAAUUAUCACAUAAGGAAACAAAUAUUUUAUUAAUUGAUAAAUAUCUUCAAUUAGAUCAAGAAUAUAGUCAAAUAUAUCAUAAAAUCGGAUUUAUAUUGAUCUAAUAUGAUAAGGUAACUAUCCAUAAGCAAAAACAGCAAGAAAUCGCGAAGAUAUCCCCAUCUGACGAGUUGACUCGUCGAGUCAAGCUUGGACUCGUCGAGUCUGCAUGGACUCGGCGAGUUCAGCUAUGGACUCGGCGAGUCCAGCCUCCAGAACACCAAAAAUCGAAUUUUUUAGAUAUACAAUGCAUCAAUACAAUUGAAACCAAGCUAGGCUCUGAUACCACUGAUGGGUUUUGGUCAUAAGACAUCCUAUGUGCUCAUACAAACCCUAAUGCUUGGAUCUAGGUUUCUCUAUUGUACAUGCUUUGAAUCCAAGACUAUAAACCCUAAUUCUAGCAUAUGGAAAUCAAUAUUAACAUAUAAUUAGGUUUAAGAUAUUACCUUGAUUGUUAUGUAGCAAUAACAAUCCCAAUUCCUCCUUGAAUUGACUUUGGAAGGCUUAGAGUCACAAGUGUCACUCCUCUAAUGGCUUACAAACACCAAGAGCAAAUGGAGAAGGUAUAAGGAGAGAGGAGAGGUAUAAGAAUUCGUCUCUAGGACCUCUUGGGAAGGCAUGGACGAAUUCAUGAGCCUUGGGGGUCUUUAUAUAGGUGUAGAGAUUAGGGUUUUAGUCCUUAUCCUUAUCUAGUUGCUU
Molecule: long non-coding RNA, 7204 nt
Filed under: Lactuca sativa (garden lettuce)
Lineage: Eukaryota; Viridiplantae; Streptophyta; Magnoliopsida; Asterales; Asteraceae
Description: long non-coding RNA (LSAT_LNC006877)
Source: RNAcentral